AUGCAGGGUCUAAGGGUUAUACUGGCCUAUGAUUUGCCCCCUUGCCCAGGAAUCUCCUUCUUCCUCCAUCAUCCAAUGGACUCAUAUUUGUGUUCAUCUUUCAAACAGUGUCUCAUCAUCGAUCUCCUUCCCUUAGGAAGUCUUCAUUCUUCCAAGGCUCUGCCAGUUACUUCUUUUGUUGUAGAUCAUUUAUCCAAUUCAAUCUUCAGCUUUAUUUUUUUGCUUUUCCUGAAGAUCUCGUGGACGUCUAUGGUUUAA
RNAcentral lists this long non-coding RNA (258 nucleotides) under Oryctolagus cuniculus (rabbit). RNAcentral describes it as "lncRNA (ENSOCUG00000037743.1)". The record is from RNAcentral. Lineage: Eukaryota; Metazoa; Chordata; Mammalia; Lagomorpha; Leporidae.